This 1833-nucleotide long non-coding RNA is filed under the name Ananas comosus (pineapple). Its description in RNAcentral is "long non-coding RNA (ACOM_LNC031557)". Lineage: Eukaryota; Viridiplantae; Streptophyta; Magnoliopsida; Poales; Bromeliaceae. The record is from RNAcentral.
UUCAUAAUUGAGUACUUCAGCACCAUCCAGACCAAGUCAAAUACAACACUUAGAAGAAGUGGGAAUCAAUUUACGAUAAACCAAACAACAAAAAUAUGCAUCCGUGGGUUACUUCACCCACUAUUUUAUGUGAAACAAACAUGCUCUUAGAUGAAGGGUAGUCAUUUUUUACUACCGUCCUCUUCAUCAAGAAAGACGUCCCGUUUGAGUGCCUAGUUAGUAAAUUCACGAAUUAUUCGCGAAUUAUUGAAAAUUUGAAUUAAACGGUCCGUCACCAAUAUACUGAAUCCGAAUUAACUAUGUUUGAGUGUUCCAUAUCUCCCAUAAACUGAAAGAGCAAGACCUUGUAGUAGAGAAAGCAAGCUUCCUCUCCAAUUUGCCUUCUAGUUUCUCAUUUUCGUAUCUUAUGUAAGGCAUUGUAAAAGACGAUGUUUCAAAAUAUAAAUCAAAGGCUGUGCAAAGUGAGAUCCGAAGCCGGAUCAAUCUGAAACAGUACAUUUGGGCGCCUAGAACGUAUUUCCAGCGUCCGAGAAGUCUCCAAAAGCUCAAAAUCAUCCAAAGUUCAAUUCUGAAACAUAUUUUCACAUCAAUUUCACGUCAAAAUGGUCCUAACUUGAUCCAGCACUCUGAAGACAUGCUGAUUAACAAUUCAAACUGCAGCUUUUCCAAUUUAGCAAAGUCUAAUAUAUUACAUCUUCGUCUUGAGCUAGAGGAUGCGUAAAUGAACUCACAUGGAUCCCAACUUAGCCAAAAAGAUCAGACAUGCUUUUGCUACCGAGGCCAAAUCAAAACUUCUGUUGUGCUCUACAACCUUAAAUAUGUUUAUGGCGAAGCAAAUUAAACCCCUACUCUUCCAACUUGUCGGGAAUUCGUACUCAUCCCGGUGUCGGAUUUUGAGAAUCCACAACCUACUCCGAUACCGACUGUUAUGUAUCCAGUACCGAUUGUUGGGGACUUGGGAUUUCGCAAUGCAAGCGUCAAAUGAAGUUUUUACUAUAAACCCGUCUUCUUAACAAAAACUGAUAUAAUUAUAAAAAAGAUAAAAAAGAAUAAAUAAAAUUUAUUAAAUAAGAGAAGAUUACAUCUGACUCCUUUUCUACAACUGAGUAACUACAACCUGAGUUAUUUUUUUUGAAUCUUUUCUAUUCUUCUCUUAUCUUCUAUAAAUCCACAAGAAGAUAAUUUUUUUCUCUCUCUCACAUGCAUCCGUGCACUAUAAGAUGCAUGUAACUACUCAGAGACGUACAAGACUCCUUUUCUACAACUGAGUAACUACAACCUGAGUUAUUUUUUUUGAAUCUUUUCUAUUCUUCUCUUAUCUUCUAUAAAUCCACAAGAAGAUAAUUUUUUUCUCUCUCUCACAUGCAUCCGUGCACUAUAAGAUGCAUGUAACUACUCAUAGACGUACAAGACUCUCUCUCUCUUGUCUACCAUAUGGACCAUCUACCGGCAGGCUUCACAUUUGCCGUACGUUCUCAUUUGCCGUAUGUUCUCUCACAGCCUCUUCAGCUCCUUAAUGCUACUCUAUAUAUAUAUAUAUAUAUAUAUAUAUAUAUAUAUGGCGGCCACAAAAACGUACCCAACUCCUAAUAUAAUUAGGAUUCAACUCUAAGAAAUAUUUAAAUCUAUAUAGUUAGUUUAUUUUCAAUAGAUUUAAAUAUUUAUUCUAAUCUAGUUAGAUUUAUACUCUAAUUAAUAUUUAAAUCUUAAUAUAUUUUUAAUAAAUUUAAAUAUUAAUUCUUACCAAACUAGAAAAUAAACUACAAAUCUAAUCAAAUCCUAACCCAACUUAACUAAAAAUUUCGAUUCUGAUUAAUAUUCCGAGUCAAACAA